UACGAAGGGUGCAAGCGUUACUCGGAAUUACUGGGCGUAAAGCGUGCGUAGGUGGUGGGUUAAGUCUGUCGUGAAAGCCCCGGGCUCAACCUGGGAAUGGCGAUGGAUACUGGCUCGCUAGAGUGCGGUAGAGGAGAGUGGAAUUCCCGGUGUAGCAGUGAAAUGCGUAGAGAUCGGGAGGAACAUCAGUUGCGAAGGCGGCUCUCUGGACCAGCACUGACACUGAGGCACGAAAGCGUGGGGAGCAAACAGG
RNAcentral lists this ribosomal RNA (253 nucleotides) under uncultured bacterium. RNAcentral describes it as "partial 16S ribosomal RNA". It matches the Rfam family "Bacterial small subunit ribosomal RNA", at positions 524 to 776 of the family's 1533-position model. The record is from RNAcentral.